GGGAAUGCCUAGGCUCUCAGAGGCGAUGAAGGACGUGAUAAGCUGCGAAAAGUUGCGGGGAUCUGCACACAAGAAUUGAUCCGCAAAUAUCCGAAUGGGGCAACCUGGCAUAUUGAAGAUAUGUUAUCCGCAAGGAGGCGAACCCGGAGAACUGAAACAUCUAAGUACCCGGAGGAGAAGAAAACAAAAGUGAUUCCGAUAGUAGCGGCGAGCGAACUUGGAUUAGCCCAAACCAAUAUUGUUACGGCAAUAUUGGGGUUGUAGGACUACGAUAUUCUGUGCUUUAUGAAUUAGAACGCUUUGGAAAGAGCGGCCAUAGACGGUGAUAGCCCGGUAUAAGUAAAGACAGUUACAGAUAGUAGUAUCCUGAGUAGUGCGGGGCACGUGAAACCCUGUAUGAAUUUGGCGGGACCAUCCGUUAAGGCUAAAUACUCCUGAGAGACCGAUAGUGAACCAGUACCGUGAGGGAAAGGCGAAAAGAACCCCUGUGAGGGGAGUGAAAUAGAACCUGAAACCGUAUACGUACAAGCAGUGGGAGCCCUUCGGGGUGACUGCGUACCUUUUGUAUAAUGGGUCAGCGACUUAUAUUUAGUAGCAAGGUUAACCGAAUAGGGGAGCCGUAGCGAAAGCGAGUGUUAACUGCGCGUUUAGUUGCUAGGUAUAGACCCGAAACCGAGUGAUCUAGCCAUGGGCAGGUUGAAGGUUGAGUAACAUCAACUGGAGGACCGAACCGACUAACUUUGAAAAGUUAGCGGAUGACUUGUGGCUGGGGGUGAAAGGCCAAUCAAACUCGGAGAUAGCUGGUUCUCCCCGAAAGCUAUUUAGGUAGCGCCUCGGACGAAUACCACAGGGGGUAGAGCACUGUUAAGGCUAGGGGGUCAUCCCGACUUACCAACCCUUUGCAAACUCCGAAUACCAAUGAGAACUAUCCGGGAGACACACGGCGGGUGCUAACGUCCGUCGUGGAGAGGGAAACAACCCAGACCGCCAGCUAAGGUCCCUAAAUAUUACUAAGUGGGAAACGAGGUGGGAAGGCUAAGACAGCUAGGAGGUUGGCUUAGAAGCAGCCACCCUUUAAAGAAAGCGUAAUAGCUCACUAGUCGAGUCGGCCUGCGCGGAAGAUGUAACGGGGCUAAGUAAUAUACCGAAGCUGCGGACGCAAAGUUUACUUUGCGUGGUAGGGGAGCGUUGUGUAAGUGGCUGAAGGUGAGCUGAGAGGCGAGCUGGACAUAUCACAAGUGCGAAUGCUGACAUGAGUAACGAUAAGGGGAGUGAAAAACUCCCCCGCCGGAAGACCAAGGUUUCCUGUCCCAUGCUAAUCAGGGCAGGGUAAGUCGGCCCCUAAGGCGAGGCAGAAAUGCGUAGUCGAUGGGAAACGGAUUAAUAUUUCCGUACUUGGUAUAUCAGUGAAGGGGGGACGGAGAAGGUUAUGCAAG
This 1436-nucleotide ribosomal RNA is filed under the name Extubocellulus spinifer. RNAcentral describes it as "partial Bacterial large subunit ribosomal RNA". It matches the Rfam family "Bacterial large subunit ribosomal RNA", at positions 24 to 1490 of the family's 2925-position model. Lineage: Eukaryota; Bacillariophyta; Thalassiosirophyceae; Cymatosirales; Cymatosiraceae. The record is from RNAcentral.